AGCGCUACCAGCUCCAACUAGAAGCUUCCAUGCUGACUCUCCCUUCACAUCCUCGUGUUCUUGCAGAAACGCCAGCUUCUCCUCGAGCCCAGUAACCUGCAGCAGAGGGAAAGUGAGCUAAGAGGUGGAGAGAGAGCUCUGAGGCAACAUCUGAGGGCCUGGAUACAGCCAGACCUGCAUGCACAUUGUGAGCUUAGUUCUGGAAGGCAGAAGUCUGAAGCGGGUCAGCAGGACUUGUUCCUCCUGGAGGCUCAGCCCGACAACAGAACACGUACUCUUCUCAGGCUGAUACUGGCAUCUCCGGGAUAGACGACACAGCUAACAAAUCAAAUCCCAAUAGAUUUCAAAAGAUAAACAUCUCACAAACUAUC
This is a long non-coding RNA of Equus quagga, 371 nucleotides long. RefSeq lists it as uncharacterized. The transcript has 3 exons. Lineage: Eukaryota; Metazoa; Chordata; Mammalia; Perissodactyla; Equidae. The record is from RefSeq and is a predicted model, not a curated record.